This 253-nucleotide ribosomal RNA is filed under the name uncultured bacterium. RNAcentral's name for it is "partial 16S ribosomal RNA". It matches the Rfam family "Bacterial small subunit ribosomal RNA", at positions 524 to 776 of the family's 1533-position model. The record is from RNAcentral.
UACGGAGGGAGCAAGCGUUACUCGGAAUUAUUGGGCGUAAAGGGCGCGUAGGCGAUUUGAAAAGUCUUGUGUGAAAGCCCCGAGCUUAACUCGGGAAGUGCACAAGAAACUGUUGAAUUUGAGUUCCGGAGAGGAAGGCAGAAUUCCCGGUGUAGCGGUGAAAUGCGUAGAUAUCGGGAGGAAUACCGGUGGCGAAGGCGGCCUUCUGGACGGAUACUGACGCUGAGGCGCGAAAGCCAGGGGAGCAAACGGG